Molecule: small nucleolar RNA, 102 nt
Filed under: Castor canadensis (American beaver)
Lineage: Eukaryota; Metazoa; Chordata; Mammalia; Rodentia; Castoridae
Description: Small nucleolar RNA SNORA51 (ENSCCNG00000016971.1)
Rfam family: Small nucleolar RNA SNORA51
About the family: ACA51 is a member of the H/ACA class of snoRNA that guide the sites of modification of uridines to pseudouridines.
Source: Rfam by way of RNAcentral
GGCCUCCUGGUGCUUACCUCAGCCAGAGACAAAGUGAACCUACCCCAUAUAUACCUCAGCCCAGGCCCUGACCUGGUCUAUAUUGUAAAUGGGGAGACAUGC